GGGGUUGUGGCUCAGUGGUAGAGUGCUUGCCUAGCAUGUACGAGGCCUGGGUUUGAUCCUCAGCUCCA
Molecule: transfer RNA, 68 nt
Filed under: Ictidomys tridecemlineatus (thirteen-lined ground squirrel)
Lineage: Eukaryota; Metazoa; Chordata; Mammalia; Rodentia; Sciuridae
Description: Spermophilus tridecemlineatus (thirteen-lined ground squirrel) tRNA
Rfam family: tRNA
About the family: Transfer RNA (tRNA) molecules are approximately 80 nucleotides in length. Their secondary structure includes four short double-helical elements and three loops (D, anti-codon, and T loops). Further hydrogen bonds mediate the characteristic L-shaped molecular structure. tRNAs have two regions of fundamental functional importance: the anti-codon, which is responsible for specific mRNA codon recognition, and the 3' end, to which the tRNAs corresponding amino acid is attached (by aminoacyl-tRNA synthetases). tRNAs cope with the degeneracy of the genetic code in two manners: having more than one tRNA (with a specific anti-codon) for a particular amino acid; and 'wobble' base-pairing, i.e. permitting non-standard base-pairing at the 3rd anti-codon position.
Source: Rfam by way of RNAcentral